GACGAACGCUGGCGGCGUGCUUAACACAUGCAAGUCGAACGAAGAGCGAUGGAAGCUUGCUUCUAUCAAUCUUAGUGGCGAACGGGUGAGUAACGCGUAAUCAACCUGCCCUUCAGAGGGGGACAACAGUUGGAAACGACUGCUAAUACCGCAUACGAUCUAAUCUCGGCAUCGAGGAUAGAUGAAAGGUGGCCUCUACAUGUAAGCUAUCACUGAAGGAGGGGAUUGCGUCUGAUUAGCUAGUUGGAGGGGUAACGGCCCACCAAGGCGAUGAUCAGUAGCCGGUCUGAGAGGAUGAACGGCCACAUUGGGACUGAGACCCGGCCCAGACUCCUACGGGAGGCAGCAGUGGGGAAUCUUCCGCAAUGGACGAAAGUCUGACGGAGCAACGCCGCGUGAGUGAUGACGGCCUUCGGGUUGUAAAGCUCUGUUAAUCGGGACGAAAGGCCUUCUUGCGAAUAGUGAGAAGGAUUGACGGUACCGGAAUAGAAAGCCACGGCUAACUACGUG
Molecule: ribosomal RNA, 510 nt
Filed under: uncultured bacterium
Lineage: Bacteria
Description: partial 16S ribosomal RNA
Rfam family: Bacterial small subunit ribosomal RNA
Source: RNAcentral